This 374-nucleotide ribosomal RNA is filed under the name uncultured organism. Its description in RNAcentral is "partial 16S ribosomal RNA". It matches the Rfam family "Bacterial small subunit ribosomal RNA", at positions 527 to 896 of the family's 1533-position model. The record is from RNAcentral.
GUAGGUGGCAAGCGUUGUCCGGAAUUAUUGGGCGUAAAGCGCGCGCAGGCGGUUCUUUAAGUCUGAUGUGAAAGCCCACGGCUCAACCGUGGAGGGUCAUUGGAAACUGGAGAACUUGAGUACAGAAGAGGAAAGCGGAAUUCCACGUGUAGCGGUGAAAUGCGUAGAGAUGUGGAGGAACACCAGUGGCGAAGGCGGCUUUCUGGUCUGUAACUGACGCUGAGGCGCGAAAGCGUGGGGAGCAAACCAGGGAUUAGAUACCCUGGUAGUCCACGCCGUAAACGAUGAGUGCUAAGUGUUAGGGGGUUUCCGCCCCCGUUAGUGCUGCAGCUAACGCAUUAAGCACUCCGCCUGGGGAUACGGCCGCAAGGCUG